This 613-nucleotide ribosomal RNA is filed under the name Shigella flexneri. RNAcentral's name for it is "bacterial SSU rRNA". It matches the Rfam family "Bacterial small subunit ribosomal RNA", at positions 932 to 1533 of the family's 1533-position model. The record is from RNAcentral. Lineage: Bacteria; Pseudomonadati; Pseudomonadota; Gammaproteobacteria; Enterobacterales; Enterobacteriaceae.
GUGGAGCAUGUGGUUUAAUUCGAUGCAACGCGAAGAACCUUACCUGGUCUUGACAUCCACGGAAGUUUUCAGAGAUGAGAAUGUGCCUUCGGGAACCGUGAGACAGGUGCUGCAUGGCUGUCGUCAGCUCGUGUUGUGAAAUGUUGGGUUAAGUCCCGCAACGAGCGCAACCCUUAUCCUUUGUUGCCAGCGGUCCGGCCGGGAACUCAAAGGAGACUGCCAGUGAUAAACUGGAGGAAGGUGGGGAUGACGUCAAGUCAUCAUGGCCCUUACGACCAGGGCUACACACGUGCUACAAUGGCGCAUACAAAGAGAAGCGACCUCGCGAGAGCAAGCGGACCUCAUAAAGUGCGUCGUAGUCCGGAUUGGAGUCUGCAACUCGACUCCAUGAAGUCGGAAUCGCUAGUAAUCGUGGAUCAGAAUGCCACGGUGAAUACGUUCCCGGGCCUUGUACACACCGCCCGUCACACCAUGGGAGUGGGUUGCAAAAGAAGUAGGUAGCUUAACCUUCGGGAGGGCGCUUACCACUUUGUGAUUCAUGACUGGGGUGAAGUCGUAACAAGGUAACCGUAGGGGAACCUGCGGUUGGAUCACCUCCUUACCUUAAAGAAGC